UACGUAGGGUGCGAGCGUUGUCCGGAAUUACUGGGCGUAAAGAGCUCGUAGGUGGUUUGUCGCGUUGUUCGUGAAAACUCACAACUCAAUUGUGGGCGUGCGGGCGAUACGGGCAGACUGGAGUACUGCAGGGGAGACUGGAAUUCCUGGUGUAGCGGUGGAAUGCGCAGAUAUCAGGAGGCACACCGGUGGCGAAGGCGGGUCUCUGGGCAGUAACUGACGCUGAGGAGCGAAAGCGUGGGGAGCGAACAGG
Molecule: ribosomal RNA, 253 nt
Filed under: uncultured bacterium
Lineage: Bacteria
Description: partial 16S ribosomal RNA
Rfam family: Bacterial small subunit ribosomal RNA
Source: RNAcentral